Molecule: ribosomal RNA, 253 nt
Filed under: uncultured bacterium
Lineage: Bacteria
Description: partial 16S ribosomal RNA
Rfam family: Bacterial small subunit ribosomal RNA
Source: RNAcentral
GACGGAGGGUGCUAGCGUUGUUCGGAAUUACUGGGCGUAAAGGGCGCGUAGGCGGCUGCUCAAGUCGGGUGUGAAAGCCCGGGGCUCAACCCCGGAACUGCCUUCGAUACUGGCGAUCUUGAGUCCGGGAGAGGUGAGUGGAACUCCGAGUGUAGAGGUGAAAUUCGUAGAUAUUCGGAAGAACACCAGUGGCGAAGGCGGCUCACUGGCCCGGUACUGACGCUGAGAUACGAAAGCGUGGGGAGCAAACAGG